CGUUUAUUAUUUAUUCUUUACUUUUAAUCUUGAUGAUUAUAAAAUGAUUGAUUGAUACGAAAUUAAUUUUUGUAAGAAAUUAAUCGUUCAUCUGAUUAAAUAUCUUCUUUUUAUUUUCUUUCUUUUUUUUUCUUUCUUUUUCCCUUGACAAUAUUAUUACCAAGAAGUCGAUUGAAAGUUUGCCUUCGUUAUACGGAUUCCUCUCGUGUUCGACUCGACUCGUACGAUGUUGCUCAAAGUGCAUCAUCUUCGUCGAAGAGUUAUGUUCUGAAUCCGCCACUGGCCUGGACAACCACCUUCACCACGUCCUAGGGACCUAAGCUAUUGAUCGAAACCGGGAAACGAAGGAAGGAACGCGAAACCAGCUGCGCCGCGAAUCAUAUUGCCGCCCCUCCAUCGAACUGAAAAACGUAACGCGUUUGCGCGUUUACAUGGAACGACCGGCUACGCGUUAGCUGUUACUUUACAAGGAUAACGUUUAAUGAGAAGGGAAACCGGUUGUCCGGACCGGAAAUGAUAAGCCAAUCGGAUUUUUCUUACGACAGAUUUAUUUUCGCGUUAAAAAAUAAUAUUAGAAAUUUUAUUUAUAAAAUUUGUAUGUGAUCACGGGUGAUCAUUUUAAAAAUCGAAUAAUAUGAAUAUAUUAAAUUAACAUUUCAUCAGAUUUGAAUUGGAUUUUUAUAGUGGUAAUAGAAAU
This is a long non-coding RNA of Polistes canadensis, 697 nucleotides long. RefSeq lists it as uncharacterized. The transcript has 3 exons. Lineage: Eukaryota; Metazoa; Arthropoda; Insecta; Hymenoptera; Vespidae. The record is from RefSeq and is a predicted model, not a curated record.